UAACCUGCCCAAGAGAUCGGGAUAACACCUGGAAACAGAUGCUAAUACCGGAUAAUAACAGAUGAUGCCUAUCAACUGUUUAAAAGAUGGUUCUGCUAUCACUCUUGGAUGGACCUGCGGUGCAUUAGCUAGUUGGUAGGGUAACGGCCUACCAAGGCGAUGAUGCAUAGCCGAGUUGAGAGACUGAUAGGCCACAUUGGGACUGAGACACGGCCCAAACUCCUACGGGAGGCAGCAGAG
This 240-nucleotide ribosomal RNA is filed under the name uncultured Lactobacillus sp. RNAcentral's name for it is "partial 16S ribosomal RNA". It matches the Rfam family "Bacterial small subunit ribosomal RNA", at positions 122 to 354 of the family's 1533-position model. The record is from RNAcentral. Lineage: Bacteria; Bacillati; Bacillota; Bacilli; Lactobacillales; Lactobacillaceae.